GAAGGACUACAACCCUAGCUCUCCAGUGAGCUCCGUCAUCCUCUUUUAUAGCCUGCUUCACACUCUCUUAUCUUUGACAAACCCUAUCUCUUACCUUUUCCUCGCCGUCAGGUUUUCAGUGGGUUCUGCUUCCUUCUCUGAUCGAAUUGCUCUGCUGUUGUUCUUUAAUUGACUCGAAGUCGUAUCGCUGGUGAUUAAGAGUCUUGAAAGUUAUCGAAGCUGCGAAACGAUGUCGGACGAUGAAAGAGAGGA
This 252-nucleotide unclassified non-coding RNA is filed under the name Hevea brasiliensis (rubber tree). The record is from RNAcentral. Lineage: Eukaryota; Viridiplantae; Streptophyta; Magnoliopsida; Malpighiales; Euphorbiaceae.